RNAcentral lists this ribosomal RNA (429 nucleotides) under Chloroflexota bacterium. Its description in RNAcentral is "Chloroflexi bacterium partial 16S ribosomal RNA". It matches the Rfam family "Bacterial small subunit ribosomal RNA", at positions 355 to 776 of the family's 1533-position model. Lineage: Bacteria; Bacillati; Chloroflexota. The record is from RNAcentral.
UAGGGAAUCUUCGGCAAUGGACGAAAGUCUGACCGAGCAACGCCGCGUGAGUGAAGAAGGUUUUCGGAUCGUAAAACUCUGUUGUUAGAGAAGAACAAUGACGUUAGUAACUGAACGUCCCCUGACGGUAUCUAACCAGAAAGCCACGGCUAACUACGUGCCAGCAGCCGCGGUAAUACGUAGGUGGCAAGCGUUGUCCGGAUUUAUUGGGCGUAAAGCGAGCGCAGGCGGUUUCUUAAGUCUGAUGUGAAAGCCCCCGGCUCAACCGGGGAGGGUCAUUGGAAACUGGGAGACUUGAGUGCAGAAGAGGAGAGUGGAAUUCCAUGUGUAGCGGUGAAAUGCGUAGAUAUAUGGAGGAACACCAGUGGCGAAGGCGGCUCUCUGGUCUGUAACUGACGAUGAGGAUCGAAAGCGUGGGGAGCAAACAGG